AGAUUGAACGCUGGCGGCAGGCCUAACACAUGCAAGUCGAGCGGCAGCACGGGUACUUGUGCCUGGUGGCGAGCGGCGGACGGGUGAGUAAUGCCUAGGAAUCUGCCUGAUAGUGGGGGAUAACGCUCGGAAACGGACGCUAAUACCGCAUACGUCCUACGGGAGAAAGCAGGGGACCUUCGGGCCUUGCGCUAUCAGAUGAGCCUAGGUCGGAUUAGCUAGUUGGUGGGUAAUGGCUCACCAAGGCGACGAUCCGUAACUGGUCUGAGAGGAUGAUCAGUCACACUGGAACUGAGACACGGUCCAGACUCCUACGGGAGCAGCAGGUGGGGAAUAGUUGGACAAGUGGGACAAAGCCUGAUCCAGCCAUGCCGCGUGUGUGAAGAAGGUC
This 391-nucleotide ribosomal RNA is filed under the name uncultured soil bacterium. Its description in RNAcentral is "bacterial SSU rRNA". It matches the Rfam family "Bacterial small subunit ribosomal RNA", at positions 26 to 416 of the family's 1533-position model. The record is from RNAcentral.